RNAcentral lists this ribosomal RNA (420 nucleotides) under uncultured prokaryote. RNAcentral describes it as "partial 16S ribosomal RNA". The record is from RNAcentral.
CCCUAUGGGGCGCCGCAGGCCGAACUACCGGAUGCUUUUGUUAUCGGUACCGGUGAGACGCAUUCUGUCCGGGAGUUCCUGGAGGCCACGUUUGCUUACGUGGAUCUCGACAUGGACAAGUACGUGAAGAUUGAUCCCAGGUAUUUCCGGCCGACCGAAGUGGAUGUACUCAUCGGAGAUGCAGGAAAAGCAGGGCGCGUUCUUAACUGGAAACCAGAUGUGAAAUUCUCCGAUCUGGUCAAGAUUAUGCUGGAUUCCGAUAUCCGUGCGGCGGGUCUUGAAGCGCCGGGCGAAGGGGAUGCCAUUAUCGCAAAGAAAUUCCCGCACAAGGGGUGGAAAGGCGAUUAGGAAUCGUUUGGGUGAACCGGCCGUGAGAGUUGCGAUCUUCCAUGAUGAUUGCGGUGCGAUUGGCGGGAGAGC